This 836-nucleotide ribosomal RNA is filed under the name Uwebraunia dekkeri. Its description in RNAcentral is "eukaryotic LSU rRNA". It matches the Rfam family "Eukaryotic large subunit ribosomal RNA", at positions 41 to 912 of the family's 3401-position model. The record is from RNAcentral. Lineage: Eukaryota; Fungi; Ascomycota; Dothideomycetes; Mycosphaerellales; Dissoconiaceae.
UAUCAAUAAGCGGAGGAAAAGAAACCAACAGGGAUUGCCCUAGUAACGGCGAGUGAAGCGGCAACAGCUCAAAUUUGAAAUCUGGCGCAAGCCCGAGUUGUAAUUUGUAGAGGAUGCUUCUGGGUAGCGGCCGGUCUAAGUUCCUUGGAACAGGACGUCACAGAGGGUGAGAAUCCCGUAUGUGAUCGGCCCGCGCCCUCUACGUAGCUCCUUCGACGAGUCGAGUUGUUUGGGAAUGCAGCUCUAAAUGGGAGGUAAAUUUCUUCUAAAGCUAAAUACCGGCCAGAGACCGAUAGCGCACAAGUAGAGUGAUCGAAAGAUGAAAAGCACUUUGGAAAGAGAGUUAAACAGCACGUGAAAUUGUUGAAAGGGAAGCGCUUGCAACCAGACUUGACGGCGGUGUUCCCCCGGGCUUCUGCCCGGGUUACUCACCGUCUUCAGGCCAUCAUCGUCUGGGGCCGCCGGAGAAACCGUCAGGAAUGUGGCUCCCUCGGGAGUGUUAUAGCCUGUCGACAUGCGGCGUGCCCCGGGCGAGGUCCGCGCUUAGGCAAGGAUGAUGGCGUAAUGGUUGUCAGCGGCCCGUCUUGAAACACGGACCAAGGAGUCUAACAUCUAUGCGAGUGUUCGGGUGUCAAACCCCUACGCGUAAUGAAAGUGAACGGAGGUGGGAGCUUCGGCGCACCAUCGACCGAUCCUGAUGUCCUCGGAUGGAUUUGAGUAAGAGCAUAGCUGUUGGGACCCGAAAGAUGGUGAACUAUGCCUGAAUAGGGUGAAGCCAGAGGAAACUCUGGUGGAGGCUCGCAGCGGUUCUGACGUGCAAAUCGAUCGUCAAAUUU